This 87-nucleotide transfer RNA is filed under the name bacterium BMS3Abin14. Its description in RNAcentral is "tRNA-Leu". It matches the Rfam family "tRNA". Rfam says of the family: Transfer RNA (tRNA) molecules are approximately 80 nucleotides in length. RNAcentral also lists the same sequence under 2 other names. The record is from RNAcentral.
GCCGAAGUGGUGGAAGUGGUAGACACGCCAUCUUGAGGGGGUGGUGGGCGAGAGCCCGUGCGAGUUCGAAUCUCGCCUUCGGCACCA